GAAGGAUCCUUUAAAUGACUCGGUUGUGCCUGAUGGCUACCAGGAAUAUAUUCGCCCAAUGCUAAAGCAACAGCUCCGUAAUGCAAGACUUUGAAGAAUAUAGAAGCCUAUGGUAAGUAAUAAUGCUAAUAAAGCUGGCAAAGGAUGGAGAUUCAUUAUCUUGGAAACCAUUAGAUUAUUCGCAUAUUGUGGUUGAUAGUCAUUUUUGCCAUAUCCAAAUUAUUCGCAAACUUUUUUUUUUUUGUAUAUUUCGACAAAUAG
This 261-nucleotide unclassified non-coding RNA is filed under the name Hevea brasiliensis (rubber tree). Lineage: Eukaryota; Viridiplantae; Streptophyta; Magnoliopsida; Malpighiales; Euphorbiaceae. The record is from RNAcentral.